AUUAAAUCAGGCAGCAGGACAGCAGCUGUGGGCUCAAUGUGUUCUGCUGACAGCCGGGGACUCGCUUUAUGAUGCUCAGGCAAAAUUGGUUGUAUUGCUGAUGGAUGAUUCCCCUGGUGAAAGGUGGUCACCCAGAGGAUAUCCGUGGUUCCAGUCAUUUCCAAAGGACCAAAUUAAACAAGGAAAACACUGAACUACAUAAAAUAAGCAUGUUACAAACCCCAAGAUCCCAAAACUUUGGAUUAGCUGGAGACAUGACAGAGUCCACAGCCAACUUGUUUGAGAAGAAUUACUUUAAAUUUCUUGGUCUUUUGGUGUCAGAAAUGUCCAAUUUACGCUGUAGGGGAAACCUGUCAUCAGAUAAAGGGCAUCCAGGUUUUUGCUUUUCCCUGAUGGAUCCUUACAAAACUGACUCUGCCACCUCACUGUGGGAAGGAUUAGAGAUGAUGAUAAGGAUAAAACUAAUGAGGAUCUAGAGAAAACAGACAAAACAAAUAUACUCAAUAUUUUCUACGGGAUGUUUUCAUCAGUUCACAAAACCCUGCGCUGCAAGGCACGAAAGUUUGGCUGCCUGUACUUCACUCGCUGUGCUGUCCCUUCCCUUGGAACCAAUCCCUUGUUCAUCACCAAGCCCUGCUAUUCCAGCUUCUCCUUUCCGUGUGAUCUGGGGAGGCUCAGACAAAGUCCAAGAGCUGGGAAUCCCAGAGGAACAUUGCAUCUUAAACCACAGAAAACCCAUGGAAAGUAUUAAAUGACCAAUAAGUGUUGCUGUAUUUACACAGCAGCAGUAGUGGAUUUGCCAGAGAGCAUGAAGGCAAAGUUCUUGUAAA
Chiroxiphia lanceolata (lance-tailed manakin) is the source of this 830-nucleotide long non-coding RNA. RefSeq lists it as uncharacterized. The transcript has 5 exons. NCBI's taxonomy places the organism in Eukaryota, Metazoa, Chordata, Aves, Passeriformes, Pipridae. The record is from RefSeq and is a predicted model, not a curated record.